This is a long non-coding RNA of Cercocebus atys (sooty mangabey), 1566 nucleotides long. RefSeq lists it as uncharacterized. NCBI's taxonomy places the organism in Eukaryota, Metazoa, Chordata, Mammalia, Primates, Cercopithecidae. The transcript is spliced from 5 exons. The record is from RefSeq and is a predicted model, not a curated record.
GACAGAUCAAGACUCUGUCUCAAAAAUAAAUAAAAAAUAAAACAACAACAAAAAAUCCAUGUGUGCAGAGGGGUUGACGUGUCACUAUGUGUUCCAGUAGCUCAGCUUGCUAAGUGCGAAACUUGAGACACAAGUGUUUUAGUUCUGAAGGGGGGUAGGGAUGGGAGCAAUCCAAAUGUUGGAUAAUUCAGUAACUGGACACACCUGACUUUUGAACACAUUAUGUGAUUGGGGUUAGUAUUAACAUCUUGCCACUGCCUAUUAAUAUUUUGCAAGGGUAGAUAGUUUCCUUCAUCAGAUACACAUAGAAAGCAAUUUAGUUGCUCAUACCAGAAAAGGGAAGUCAAGCUGGGUUUAACAAUGUGUUGUGAGUUGCUGGGGAGAUGACUAAGAGAAGAUUGACAGAUACAUGGUUUGAGGGAGUUAGGAAAAAGCACUGUUUGAAAUGUUCCCUGGGUGUUCAGAAGAGUGACAGGAGUGGCCCUGCCAGUGUUGUCAAGAUUUACUCCUCCUUGGAGAUGCAAAACCUCCGAGAAACAAGGAAAAUAAGCUGGGAGACAGAAUGAUUUUAUCUGGGGACACCCCCCAUAAGGCAGGAACUGCUAAAGAGUUUGGGAAGAGGACAUGCUCCUUCAGCUUGUAUCAGGAUCACCUGGUUUGUGCGUUAAACAUAUACACCCCCCAGGCCCUACCGCUAUAUGACUGAAUCUGUUCCCCCCCACAACAGGGCCCUGAAAUCCAUACGUGUGAUAGGUGUUUCCAGGGCUGUUAGAUCUAAAAAUCACCCGCAACUCUGCAUCUGAGAAAGUCAAGAGAAGGGCCCCUGGUGGGGGAGGGAAGUACUGGCAGAGGGCUCACAAGGGCAGGGGUAGCCAUGCAGCCUGUCCUUCCCAUUUCUUCAUCUGUAAAAUGGAGAAAAUAACAGAGCCUGCUUCCUAGGGUGGUCAAGAGGGGCUUAUGGCAUCACUGUCUCCGUACUCAGAUGACCCAACCUCCUGCUUUGCUAAUAAGAUCCAGCCCAUCUUCCGGCUCCUCUACCCAGAAAAGGAAACGUUAAAACAAAAACAGAGAAACAUCUAAGAGGGCACUUGCAAGUCAAGAAGAUGUGUCUUCUUUCGCAGUGCAGUGAGAAAGAUCAGCAAAUUAAAGAAAACCUGACUGUGGGAAUAUGGAAGACUAUGGGACUGUGGGAGAAUGUCAUGAUCCAUGCAAGCCCACUGCUGGUCCUGAGAAAGUCCUUGCUUCCGCUUCACCUUAUGCCAUGAUUCCAAGUUUCCUGAGGCCUCCCAGUCAUGCUUCCUGUUAAGCCUGUGGAACUGAAACCACAUAAAACAUCCAGAAUUUCAAAUGGGUAUGCUGAGGAUUGGGAUGGUUCCAGAUGGAAGACUUGUUCCUGCUUCCCUAGGAUUUAUUGAGAACAGAAACUGCCAAGUUUUUAAUCGUAGUCACAAUCUUCUUUAUUAGGGUGAUAGUCCUAUUAUCUGUCUGCAUUUAAAAGAUAGCCUUUCCAGACAGGGCACAGUGGCUCAUGCCUGUAAUCCCAGCAUUUUGGGAGGCUGAGGUGGG